UGGAGACAUGACUACAGGA
This 19-nucleotide unclassified non-coding RNA is filed under the name Mus musculus (house mouse). Its description in RNAcentral is "oocyte_clustered_small_RNA12833". The record is from RNAcentral. Lineage: Eukaryota; Metazoa; Chordata; Mammalia; Rodentia; Muridae.